GGGCGUAUAGCUCAGCUGGCUAGAGCGCUACGUUGACAUCGUAGAGGUCACAGGUUCAAGUCCUGUUACGCCCACCA
RNAcentral lists this transfer RNA (77 nucleotides) under Lentisphaerota bacterium. RNAcentral describes it as "Lentisphaerae bacterium tRNA-Val". It matches the Rfam family "tRNA". Rfam says of the family: Transfer RNA (tRNA) molecules are approximately 80 nucleotides in length. Their secondary structure includes four short double-helical elements and three loops (D, anti-codon, and T loops). RNAcentral also lists the same sequence under 3 other names. Lineage: Bacteria; Pseudomonadati; Lentisphaerota. The record is from RNAcentral.